RNAcentral lists this ribosomal RNA (429 nucleotides) under Chloroflexota bacterium. RNAcentral describes it as "Chloroflexi bacterium partial 16S ribosomal RNA". It matches the Rfam family "Bacterial small subunit ribosomal RNA", at positions 355 to 776 of the family's 1533-position model. The record is from RNAcentral. Lineage: Bacteria; Bacillati; Chloroflexota.
UGGGGAAUAUUGCACAAUGGGCGCAAGCCUGAUGCAGCCAUGCCGCGUGUGUGAAGAAGGCCUUCGGGUUGUAAAGCACUUUCAGCGGGGAGGAAGGCGUUAAGGUUAAUAACCUUGGCGAUUGACGUUACCCGCAGAAGAAGCACCGGCUAACUCCGUGCCAGCAGCCGCGGUAAUACGGAGGGUGCAAGCAUUAAUCGGAAUUACUGGGCGUAAAGCGCACGCAGGCGGUUUGUUAAGUCAGAUGUGAAAUCCCCGGGCUCAACCUGGGAACUGCAUCUGAUACUGGCAAGCUUGAGUCUCGUAGAGGGGGGUAGAAUUCCAGGUGUAGCGAUGAAAUGCGUAGAGAUCUGGAGGAAUACCGGUGGCGAAGGCGGCCCCCUGGACAAAGACUGACGCUCAGGUGCGAAAGCGUGGGGAGCAAACAGG